Bos taurus (domestic cattle) is the source of this 748-nucleotide long non-coding RNA. The record is from Ensembl. NCBI's taxonomy places the organism in Eukaryota, Metazoa, Chordata, Mammalia, Artiodactyla, Bovidae.
AUUUUUUCAAUAGUAAAUACAACAGUACUACGCAAUCGGAUCCAAAGGUUUUAACCUACAGUAAUAUUUCUCCCCAAACAUUCCAAACUCUGUAAUAGUAAGCUGUGACUGCUAGACCGUGAGCUGGGAGGGAGCGAUACUGUUGGUGAUUGUCUUGAGCACAUCCCUAGCACAUAACCCACAAGAGGCCCUAGUAUGCAGAUGAGGAUGUGACAGUGAUUUUGGAGUUGCCUUCAACUUUGGGGGAACAGAAGAAACUGAAACACAAAACAAACUUAGAGAAGCUGAAAGAAGCUAAAGUAUUUAAAAACAUAUUAAAUGGGAAUCACUUCUUACCUUGAAAUGUUCUCAAAUGUCAUAGCACAAGAGAACCGCGGUGGCAUUGUGAAUAUAAGACCAAAAGAAGAUGGCAGCAACAGACCAUGGAACACGUCUGUACUGUUUUCCAGUCUCCACGGCCACCACCUGCCUCCACAGGCACCACCUAAGGAUUCUCAGAGCUGCAGGAAUGAGAGUUUUUUCAACUUUUAUCCUCAUGGUGACUCCCCAUGCAGUUUCUUGAGGGCUGUGGUAAACCAUUUCUCUGUAAUAAAAAUACCCAUGAUACUCUUUUCUCUACUGCCUCUUUGAAAUGUAAGAUGGCAGUAUUUAAAAAAAAAAGAUGGCAGUAUUAAAAUUGCUUAUAUUGAAUGUACUGUCAUUUCCAAAAUUCUUCACAUGGUCAAAUAAAAAUAUUCUCUUUGAAUAU